Molecule: ribosomal RNA, 568 nt
Filed under: uncultured bacterium
Lineage: Bacteria
Description: partial 16S ribosomal RNA
Rfam family: Bacterial small subunit ribosomal RNA
Source: RNAcentral
UGGGGAAUAUUGGACAAUGGGCGCAAGCCUGAUCCAGCCAUGCCGCGUGAGUGAUGAAGGCCCCUAGGGUUGUAAAAGCUCUUUCGCCAGGGACGAUAAUGACGGUACCUGGAUAAGAAGCCCCGGCUAACUUCGUGCCAGCAGCCGCGGUAAUACGAAGGGGGCUAGCGUUGUUCGGAAUCACUGGGCGUAAAGCGCACGUAGGCGGAUCUUUAAGUCAGGGGUGAAAAUCCCCGAGGCUCAACCUCGGGAACUGCCCUUUGAUACUGGAGGUCUCGAGUCCGGGGAGAGGUGAGUGGAACUGCGAGUGUAGAGGUGAAAUUCGUAGAUAUUCGCAAGAACACCAGUGGCGAAGGCGGCUCACUGGCCCGGUACUGACGCUGAGGUGCGAAAGCGUGGGGAGCAAAACAGGAUUAGAUACCCUGGUAGUCCACGCCGUAAACUAUGGAUGCUAGCCGUUGGGCAGCUUGCUGUUCAGUGGCGCAGCUAACGCUUUAAGCAUCCCGCCUGGGGAGUACGGUCGCAAGAUUAAAACUCAAAUGAAUUGACGGGGUCAUAGCUGUUUCCU